This 468-nucleotide ribosomal RNA is filed under the name uncultured bacterium. RNAcentral's name for it is "partial 16S ribosomal RNA". It matches the Rfam family "Bacterial small subunit ribosomal RNA", at positions 28 to 507 of the family's 1533-position model. The record is from RNAcentral.
GACGAACGCUGGCGGCGUGCUUAACACAUGCAAGUCGAACGGUGAAGCUCCAGCUUGCUGGAGUGGAUCAGUGGCGAACGGGUGAGUAACACGUGAGCAACCUGCCCCUGACUCUGGAAUAAGCGCUGGAAACGGCGUCUAAUACUGGAUACGAGAAGGGUCCGCAUGGGCACUUUCUGGAAAGUUUUUCGGUUGGGGAUGGGCUCGCGGCCUAUCAGCUUGUUGGUGAGGUAAUGGCUCACCAAGGCGACGACGGGUAGCCGGCCUGAGAGGGCGACCGGCCACACUGGGACUGAGACACGGCCCAGACUCCUACGGGAGGCAGCAGUGGGGAAUAUUGCACAAUGGGCGAAAGCCUGAUGCAGCGACGCCGCGUGAGGGAUGACGGCCUUCGGGUUGUAAACCUCUUUCAGCAGGGAAGAAGCGAAAGUGACGGUACCUGCAGAAGAAGCGCCGGCUAACUACGUG